CACUCCUACGGGAGGCAGCAGUGGGGAAUAUUGCACAAUGGGCGCAAGCCUGAUGCAGCCAUGCCGCGUGUAUGAAGAAGGCCUUCGGGUUGUAAAGUACUUUCAGCGGGGAGGAAGGCAAUACGGUUAAUAACCGUGUUGAUUGACGUUACCCGCAGAAGAAGCACCGGCUAACUCCGUGCCAGCAGCCGCGGUAAUACGGAGGGUGCAAGCGUUAAUCGGAAUUACUGGGCGUAAAGCGCACGCAGGCGGUCUGUCAAGUCGGAUGUGAAAUCCCCGGGCUCAACCUGGGAACUGCAUUCGAAACUGGCAGGCUUGAGUCUUGUAGAGGGGGGUAGAAUUCCAGGUGUAGCGGUGAAAUGCGUAGAGAUCUGGAGGAAUACCGGUGGCGAAGGCGGCCCCCUGGACAAAGACUGACGCUCAGGUGCGAAAGCGUGGGGAGCAAACAGGAUUAGAUACCCGAGUAGUCCCA
RNAcentral lists this ribosomal RNA (472 nucleotides) under uncultured organism. Its description in RNAcentral is "partial 16S ribosomal RNA". It matches the Rfam family "Bacterial small subunit ribosomal RNA", at positions 334 to 797 of the family's 1533-position model. The record is from RNAcentral.